RNAcentral lists this ribosomal RNA (440 nucleotides) under uncultured bacterium. Its description in RNAcentral is "bacterial SSU rRNA". It matches the Rfam family "Bacterial small subunit ribosomal RNA", at positions 338 to 794 of the family's 1533-position model. The record is from RNAcentral.
CCUACGGGUGGCAGCAGCGAGGAAUCUUCUACAAUGGGCGCAAGCCCGAUAGAGCAACGCCGCGUGGAGGACGACGGCCUUCGGGUUGUAAACUCCUUUCGGGGGGGAUGACACGGACAGUACCCCCAGAAGCAGCCCCGGCUAACUCUGUGCCAGCAGCCGCGGUAAGACAGAGGGGGCAAGCGUUGUCCGGAUUUACUGGGCGUACAGCGCGCGCAGGCGGCCCGCGGCUGUGCCGGGUGACAGCCCACCGCUCAACGGCGGGUGGUCCCGGUAGACAGGCGGGCUGGAGGCAGGGAGAGGAUGGUGGAAUACCCGGUGGAGCGGUGAUAUGCGUAGAGAUCGGGUGGAACACCAGCGGCGAAGGCGGCCAUCUGGCCCUGCCCUGACGCUGAGGCGCGAGAGCGUGGGGAGCGAACCGGAUUAGAUACCCGGGUAGU